This 518-nucleotide ribosomal RNA is filed under the name uncultured Alternaria. RNAcentral describes it as "eukaryotic LSU rRNA". The stretch from base 170 to 323 matches the Rfam family "5.8S ribosomal RNA". Lineage: Eukaryota; Fungi; Ascomycota; Dothideomycetes; Pleosporales; Pleosporaceae. The record is from RNAcentral.
AUUACACAAAUAUGAAGGCGGGCUGGAACCUCUCGGGGUUACAGCCUUGCUGAAUUAUUCACCCUUGUCUUUUGCGUACUUCUUGUUUCCUUGGUGGGUUCGCCCACCACUAGGACAAACAUAAACCUUUUGUAAUUGCAAUCAGCGUCAGUAACAAAUUAAUAAUUACAACUUUCAACAACGGAUCUCUUGGUUCUGGCAUCGAUGAAGAACGCAGCGAAAUGCGAUAAGUAGUGUGAAUUGCAGAAUUCAGUGAAUCAUCGAAUCUUUGAACGCACAUUGCGCCCUUUGGUAUUCCAAAGGGCAUGCCUGUUCGAGCGUCAUUUGUACCCUCAAGCUUUGCUUGGUGUUGGGCGUCUUGUCUCUAGCUUUGCUGGAGACUCGCCUUAAAGUAAUUGGCAGCCGGCCUACUGGUUUCGGAGCGCAGCACAAGUCGCACUCUCUAUCAGCAAAGGUCUAGCAUCCAUUAAGCCUUUUUUUCAACUUUUGACCUCGGAUCAGGUAGGGAUACCCGCUGA